Molecule: ribosomal RNA, 440 nt
Filed under: uncultured bacterium
Lineage: Bacteria
Description: partial 16S ribosomal RNA
Rfam family: Bacterial small subunit ribosomal RNA
Source: RNAcentral
CCUACGGGAGGCUGCAGUGGGGAAUAUUGCACAAUGGGGGAAACCCUGAUGCAGCGACGCCGCGUGAAGGAAGAAGUAUUUCGGUAUGUAAACUUCUAUCAGCAGGGAAGAAAAUGACGGUACCUGACUAAGAAGCCCCGGCCAACUACGUGCCAGCAGCCGCGGUAAUACGUAGGGGGCAAGCGUUAUCCGGAUUUACUGGGUGUAAAGGGAGCGUAGGCGGGGAGGCAAGUCAGAAGUGAAAGCCCGGGGCUCAACUUCGGGACUGCCUUUGAAACUGUGUUGCUAGAUUGCAGGAGAGGUAGGCGGAAUUCCUAGUGUAGCGGUGAAAUGCGUAGAUAUUAGGAGGAACACCGGUGGCGAAGGCGGCUUACUGGACUGUAAAUGACGCUGAGGCUCGAAAGCGUGGGGAGCAAACAGGAUUAGAUACCCCAGUAGUC